GACGAACGCUGGCGGCGGGCUUAACACAUGCAAGUCGAACGGAAAGGCCCUGCUUUUGUGGUGUUCUCGAGUGGCGAACGGGUGAGUAACACGUGAGUAACCUGCCCUUGACUUUGGGAUAACUUCUGGAAACUGGGGCUAAUACCGGAUAGGAGCGCCUGCUGCAUGGUGGGGGUUGGAAAGGUUCGGCGGGUGGGGAUGGACUCGCGGCUGAUCAGCUUGUUGGGGGGGUAGUGGCUUACCAAGGCUUUGACGGGUAGCCGGCCUGAGAGGGGGACCGGCGUCAUGGCUCCUGCGGUACGGACCAGUCUCCUACGGUAGGCAGCAGGGGCGAAUAUUGCACAAUGGGGCGACGCGUGAUGCAGCAACGCCGCGUGCGGGAUGACGGCCUUCGGGUUGUAAACCGAGUUCGCCUGUGACGAAGCGUGAGUGACGGUAGUGGGUGAAGAAGCACCGGCUAACUCCGUG
This 468-nucleotide ribosomal RNA is filed under the name uncultured bacterium. Its description in RNAcentral is "partial 16S ribosomal RNA". It matches the Rfam family "Bacterial small subunit ribosomal RNA", at positions 28 to 507 of the family's 1533-position model. The record is from RNAcentral.